GGGAAGAGCCUCGAGUAGAGGUGACAGACCUACCGAGCUCGGCCAUAGCUGGUUGUCUGGGAACUGAAUAGAAGUUCAGCCUCCCGGCUUCUUCCCUCACCCGUAUGAAUAUUUCUAUGGACCCAAAGAAGACCGAGAGAGUUAGUCAAAAGGGGUACAGCCCUUUUGACACAAGAUACAACUUCUCCAGGAGGGUACCGAUCAUAACUAAUCAAGGGAAAAUAACCCAAGUGGGCCUAAAAGCAGCCACCUUAAUAGAAAGCGUCCAAGCUCAAGCACCUCUCCACCCCUCAAAUUCCGAAAACCAACUCAAAACCCCCUAAAAAUACCAGACCCCUUCGUGCCCACACGAAGAAGACUAUGCUACUACGAGUAAUAAGAGAAUACCCCUCUCUCCUGACACAUGUGUAAAUCGGAUUGGACCCUCCACCGAAACUUAACGGCCCCAAACGAAGAGGGGAAAAAGAAAACACCAGAAAACUAGAAAACCACUUUCAACCCACCGUUAACCCUACACUGGUGUGUUCUCAAGGAAAGACUAAAAGAAAGAGAAGGAACUCGGCAAACAAAAGCCUCGCCUGUUUACCAAAAACAUCGCCUCUUGCAAAACCAAAGAAUAAGAGGUCCCGCCUGCCCACUGAUAUUAAUUCAACGGCCGCGGUAUUUUGACCGUGCUAAGGUAGCGUAAUCACUUGUCUUUUAAAUGAAGACCCGUAUGAAAGGCAUAACGAGGGCUCAACUGUCUCCUCUUUCCAGUCAAUGAAACUGAUCUCCCCGUGCAGACGCGGGGAUAAUACCAUAAGACGAGAAGACCCUAUGGAGCUUCAGACAUAAAGUAGACUAUUUCAAACACCCCUCAACAAGGAUUGAAUCUAAUAGAAACCUACCCCUGUCUUAGGUUGGGGCGACCCUGGGGAAACACAAAACCCCCAUGUGGAUAGGGAGAACAUACUUACAUCCCCCUAAAAACCCGAGAUACAACUCUAAUUAACAGAAUCUCUGACCAAAAUUGAUCCGGACAAACCCGAUUAACGGAACAAGUUACCCUAGGGAUAACAGCGCUAUCCCCUUUUAAAGUCCAUAUAGACAAGGGGGUUUACGACCUCG
Molecule: ribosomal RNA, 1107 nt
Filed under: Gymnachirus melas (North American naked sole)
Lineage: Eukaryota; Metazoa; Chordata; Actinopteri; Pleuronectiformes; Achiridae
Description: partial 16S ribosomal RNA
Rfam family: Bacterial large subunit ribosomal RNA
Source: RNAcentral